UACGUAGGGUGCAAGCGUUGUCCGGAAUUAUUGGGCGUAAAGAGCUCGUAGGCGGUCUGUCGCGUCUGCUGUGAAAACUCAGGGCUUAACCCUGAGCUUGCAGUGGGUACGGGGAGACUAGAGUGCGGUAGGGGAGACUGGAAUUCCUGGUGUAGCGGUGAAAUGCGCAGAUAUCAGGAGGAACACCGGUGGCGAAGGCGGGUCUCUGGGCCGUAACUGACGCUGAGGAGCGAAAGCAUGGGGAGCGAACAGG
This 253-nucleotide ribosomal RNA is filed under the name uncultured bacterium. Its description in RNAcentral is "partial 16S ribosomal RNA". It matches the Rfam family "Bacterial small subunit ribosomal RNA", at positions 524 to 776 of the family's 1533-position model. The record is from RNAcentral.